GAUGAAGAACGCAGCGAAAUGCGAUAAGUAAUGUGAAUUGCAGAAUUCAGUGAAUCAUCGAAUCUUUGAACGCACAUUGCGCCCGCCAGUAUUCUGGCGGGCAUGCCUGUUCGAGCGUCAUUUCAACCAUCAAGCCCCAGGCUUGUGUUGGGGACCUGCGGCUGCCGCAGGCCCUGAAAACCAGUGGCGGGCUCGCUGUCACACCGGGCGUAGUAGAUUUUAUCUCGCUCAGGGCGUGCUGCGGGUUCCGGCCGUUAAAAAGCCUUUUUUACCCAAGGUUGACCUCGGAUCAGGUAGGAAGACCCGCUGAACUUAAGAAUAUCAAUAAGCGGAGGA
This 336-nucleotide unclassified non-coding RNA is filed under the name soil metagenome. Its description in RNAcentral is "partial contains 5.8S ribosomal RNA, internal transcribed spacer 2, and large subunit ribosomal RNA". The stretch from base 1 to 120 matches the Rfam family "5.8S ribosomal RNA", at positions 35 to 154 of the family's 154-position model. The record is from RNAcentral.